UCCGAAAAAUGAGCUCUGUUUAUUUAAAAUGUUUUGGGUAUUUGUAGAGAAAAAAUAAUAAUUCACACAUUGAAUAUUGGAAUCUGUUUUAGCAAAAGGCACAAAACAAAAACACAACACAUAGACAAAGGUUACUUUAACAAACACCUACAGAAUAUUUGACAACUAUGGAACAUUUUUAAUAAAUGAUUAGAGCAAGUAACAAACAAGACAUAUCUACUAUUGGAAUUAAGAGGGGUUUUUGACAAGCUUGCAAAAAGGAUUUUUGGAGUGGAUCCCCACACACACACACACUCACAUGCAAGCACAUCUCACACACAUCCACUCACAUGUAAGCACAUCUCACACACAUCCACUCACAUAACAUUUCACAAGCAUGAUGCAAAAAUGAAAUGAGGAUAUUAUGCCAUGAUGAAAUGACAUGAAGGAAAACAAGUUAUUACUCAAACCACAUGAUGGCAUCCAUUGAAUGUUCAACGUGGAAUCUAUUAGAAAUAAGGAAAGGGGGCACUUGGGCUGUUACAUGUAGUGUGCCUGCAGUUGCCGGAAGUCCUUGCCCAAGGACGCCAAGAUGCCAUGCUCUUUUUCCCUCAUUGUUCACAUCGAGCGGGUCAAGAGUCACUUACCCUCCUGGAGUGGUGAUUGCCUCAUCUAUGACAGCCCGCUCAGAGAAGACCUUGAAGACAUCGUCGCCGGGGAAAUUGAUGAAUUCCAAGU
This 717-nucleotide long non-coding RNA is filed under the name Hordeum vulgare. RNAcentral's name for it is "long non-coding RNA (HVUL_LNC009017)". The record is from RNAcentral. Lineage: Eukaryota; Viridiplantae; Streptophyta; Magnoliopsida; Poales; Poaceae.